AAUUACAACAGAAACUAAGAAAAAUGCGUUGCUAAAUGUAACAUUAACCUAACUAGAAAUGAAGCGAUUGCACGGAAAACAGAAUACGAAAACUAUACCAAUAAUACAUACAAAAGGUAAAUAACGUAAAUGUAAAAGAAAUUAAAACUUACUUUGGUCUAGCUCCUAACGGCAGUAAAUAGCUUGUAGCGAACGGUAGCAAAUAGCUUGUAGCCAUUAUCUAGCAGCGACGAUUUAGCAGUGAUGAUUUAGCAGCGAUGACUAAAAGCGACGAUUGAAAUAGAAUCUUUACACGUGCACUUAAGUGGAAAUUUGAUCGGAGAUAACAAACUUACUGUAAUAAUCAUUAACUAACGAAAGACUUAGAAAUGAACCAGAACAAAGCUAUAAUAAGGUGUAAUUAACUAAGUGUUUCGAAACUAACACGAAGAUUUACCUCCGUUCAGUAAGUAAAUGGCAAGGAAAGUAACUGUUGGAGCCAUUCCUGUAUUUAGUCACUGGUGUAGGGAUGUACUCGGUGACUUAUGAAAGCGUUACCGUUGCCCGUGGGCAGAGAUAGGAAAAUAUGGACUGUACUAAGAACCAAUCAGAUUGCAGGAUUCGUUUCCGUGACCUCUAAGAAAAAACCUGCAAGAGCUAAUGACACAACUCCUGAGAACACAACUGCAAGGCAGGAACUGAAGCAGGGGGAGAAAUCAAGUGAAAGUUAAAAGGAACAAAGAGUUUUGGUGUUUCGUUCUACUUGCCAUCUUCUUUCUUCCUAAAAUACUUAUUUUAUGUCAACUACAUCCUCACACAUUUUUAUUUUUGGUUUCUGUGGGAUUGAAUUGGCUUCUUCACCAAAAGAGAAGAAAAUGAUGCUGAAAAAAACCUGAGCCAAGCUCUUUGCCUUGCAAGUCAGACUGGCAGACAACAAAAUGACAAUGGAUGGAAAUAAAUGUUUGGAAGGCAUGUUUCCAAAAGAGAUGAGGGGAAUCCCCAAACUCAUGGACACUAAGAUUCCCUUAACUCUUUGACCCCUAAGAGUGACCAGCAUCUAAUUUCUCCUUACAAUAUCACUCGUUAAUCACACAUUUAGGUCUCAAGAAUAAAGGAAAUGAUCACCAACUUAAGCAGCUCUUGAUUGAUGAACAAAAUUCUCCUUGUCAGCACCUUAGGACAUGUAUGGAGAACAGUUGGGAGAAUAUACAUAGUAAUGUUUGGGUGUAAAAAGUUUUCAUCUGCAGCUUUGACUACGUGACCAUCGUAUUCAUGGUCAUGUAAUAUCAAACAUAAACCGUCUCCGGCCAAGAGUAAAUUUGUAAAAAGACGCUUCAAACGGUCC
This is a non-coding RNA of Pocillopora verrucosa, 1324 nucleotides long. The record is from RefSeq and is a predicted model, not a curated record. Lineage: Eukaryota; Metazoa; Cnidaria; Anthozoa; Scleractinia; Pocilloporidae.